This 207-nucleotide ribosomal RNA is filed under the name uncultured delta proteobacterium. RNAcentral describes it as "partial 16S ribosomal RNA". It matches the Rfam family "Bacterial small subunit ribosomal RNA", at positions 568 to 774 of the family's 1533-position model. Lineage: Bacteria; Deltaproteobacteria. The record is from RNAcentral.
GAUGCAUGUGGCUUUGUAAGUCAGGUGUGAAAUCCCAGGGCUCAACCCUGGAAGUGCAUUUGAUACUGCGAAGCUUGAGUGCUGGAGAGGUAAGUAGAAUACCUGGUGUAGUGGUGAAAUACGUAGAUAUCAGGUGGAACACCGGAGGCGAAGGCGGCUUACUGGCCAGACACUGACACUCAGAUCCGAAAGCGUGGGGAUCAAACA